This 71-nucleotide transfer RNA is filed under the name Tremoctopus violaceus. RNAcentral's name for it is "tRNA-Glu". Lineage: Eukaryota; Metazoa; Mollusca; Cephalopoda; Octopoda; Tremoctopodidae. The record is from RNAcentral.
AUUUUUAUGGUGUAAGGCACGAAAGAUUUUCAGUUUUUAGGUGUAAUAAUUGUUUGAGAUUACUAAAAAUA